GACGAACGCUGGCGGCGUGCUUAACACAUGCAAGUCGAGCGGAAAGGCGCUGCUUUUACGGUACUGACGUGAGCGACGGAUGGGUAAGACAUGGGUGAUUAACCCUGCUCUUCGAGUUGGACCACGGAGAGAAGGUGGAGUAAAGAACGGAAAAUAUAUUGAAUGGGAUGGUUGGAAAGUGUUUUAGGUGUAGGAUGAGCUGGCGACGUAUUAGCGAGUUGGUGGGGUAACGGCUUACCAAGGCGGCGAAGGGUAGCCGACCUGAGAGGGUGGUCGGCCACACGGGAACUGAGACACGGUCCAGACUCCUACGGGAGGCAGCAGUAGGGAAUCUUCCGCAAUGGGCGAAAGCCUGACGGAGCAACGCCGCGUGAGUGAUGAAGGUCUUCGGAUCGUAAAACUCUGUUAUUAGGGAAGAACAAAUGUGUAAGUAACUAUGCACGUCUUGACGGUACCUAAUCAGAAAGCCACGGCUAACUACGUG
RNAcentral lists this ribosomal RNA (484 nucleotides) under uncultured bacterium. RNAcentral describes it as "partial 16S ribosomal RNA". It matches the Rfam family "Bacterial small subunit ribosomal RNA", at positions 28 to 507 of the family's 1533-position model. The record is from RNAcentral.